GCGCCGCCAACAAUAAAAGUGCACGAUAAGUGAAAUUACAGCUGAUGUAAGUCUGUAUUUCUUUAAGCUCCAACACCUUUUUUCCCCCCACACACACAUACACAGGUAGAGGAGUGGAUGGCGCGGAAAGCAGUAACUGAUGGUGCUGAGCUGAGUUCCACAGCAUUCAGUGGUAACUUGAUGAUAACCAGCCAGGAAGAACAAGUAAGUCAUUCAUUCUCGGCAUCGACUGUCUUCUUACUCUAUAGGUACCUUGUGAAUUGAUUUUAUGAGAUAUUUAACAUUGAUUCCUUUAUUCUCUGGAGUUGUUGGACUGCUAUUUUAGGAACAUCCGUGCAGUGUCCUUGCAAAAUCAAGUUGCUGGCAGCGAUGACAGGGGCAAGUUCUUCCUAGGAGAAUGUGGGGUCCCACUGUCCAACCCAUCAUUAGAUGUAAAACGCCUGAGAGCGAGAUACCUGAGCACUGAACCUGAGGAUGCUAUGGCUGAGUCAGCAUCAAGCUCAGUAGGAGGACUACAGACACCAGGACAGGCCAG
This is a long non-coding RNA of Oreochromis aureus, 535 nucleotides long. NCBI's taxonomy places the organism in Eukaryota, Metazoa, Chordata, Actinopteri, Cichliformes, Cichlidae. The record is from Ensembl.